AGAGUUAUCAAAGGCCUGGGAAUAAUACACGAGAGGGUAUUUUGUACUCUGGAGCCAAUGGGGCCGUAUUGUUGUAGCAGACUUUGGGUCCGAGGAUUAGCCGCACACAAUUACGUAGGUGUGAUCUUAGAAUUUGUUGAUGUGACAUUUCCGGGGGGAGUGGAGAUAAAAAGCGGACACUUCAUUCUCAGGGUCAGUUGCAAUGAUCAAAUCAACAGGCAAUACAAUAAAUAGGACUUGUGCUGAGUUAUUGGCUAGACACAAAUUUAAACCACUUCAAACAUCAUUGCUUAAAGUUGAUGUACACAGACUUCCAGAAUAGAAUGCGUUCAUCAUCUUUCUACCGAGCUUUGUGUCUGUGGACUUUUGUCGGCCUCGUUGUCAUGGCUCCCAUAGAAUCAGACACAGAAAACAAUCCCGACGGGACACAAGAAGCCAUGAUGUUUUUCUUUAACAGACCUCCUCCUACGUUCAAGAUUUUCUCUGUUGGGGGUGUGACAUCUUGCUUGCAGGCGUGUAUUCAACCAGGAAAGAGUGCCUCUGAAAUCCACACAUGCAGCAGAAAUUGUAUGGCGAGCUCAGGGACCAAUUGAUUGGUUCUGCCAAUAUCAGUGUUCAUAAGAAUCUAAACAGAAUCUCAUGUAUAGACGUCUGAAGUGGAGGCCUCAGUAUAAUACCUCAACCUUAGUUCGAUUUCUGUUAUACUUAAUACCAUACUUCCUUGAUCGCUUGAAAGUUUAUUAUUUUCUAAAUUGAUAUCUUUAGUAAUUACUCAUAUAAACUAGUGUACAUGUACAAUGUUCAAAUUGAAAUGUUUAUAUAUGGCUGGUGAAACGUUUUUGUCUACGGUUAACGAGGGGGAGGUGUGGCCACCACAACGACUUUCCAUCAAGUGAGAUUAUAAACCAGUUUGAAGUCGUGGUAUAAUGGCUAGACAGCUCAGCUCAUACCAACUCGACCACCUACAAUACGCAUGUCAUAUUAUUAUUAUGUUUAAUAUUGUAAGAAAGUUGACAAUUUGGCCAUUGUUAUUACAAUAAAUGUUAUUUAAAAUUGUCAUAAGCAAUGGAUUAUUACAUCCUUAUUAUGUAUUUGAGAUAUUAUAAAACUUUUUCGGCUUCUCUACUAAUUGGAUAAGUUGAGCCAGAAACCAUGACAGGUUUUAACAACUAUUGAUGCCAUAUUUUAAAAAACCUUGUGCUUCAAUAUCUGUCUCUUAUGUUACAACAUUCGUUUUCGUACGUCCCUAAUGAAUCUACUGCAAGUAUAUUAAACAGACUUGUUGAAGUCAUCAGAUGUUUUGGGUUGGCAAUGCUGCUCUCAAAAUGUAUUUCUUCUAAAGAAUAUUUUGACAAUAUUUUUUUUUAUCAAAGUAGUGAAUUGAUUUGGAAAUAUGUAGUGUAUACUUGAGAGGAUAUCGAAGUAGUGUAUCCUUGUAAUGAUAUCUAAGUAGUUUAUCCUUGUAAUGAUAUCUAAGUAGUUUAUCCUUGUAAUGAUAUCUAAGUAGUUUAUCCUUGUAAUGAUAUCGAAGUAGUGUAUGCUUGUAAUGAUAUCUAAGUAGUUUAUCCUUGUAAUGAUAUCUAAAAUGUAUCUGUAAUUGUAAUACCUCCAGCUAUAUAUCUUGCUCUAAUGACUGAAAUGGAAUCACAAAUUCAAUCCAUGUCUAUAGUUCACUGGAAUGGAACGAUAAAAGGGAAGUAGCUCUUUGAAAUAAUUAUGACGACAGAAUCUUCCUAGUUUUUUCCCUUUGUUCUCUAUCUUUCCCCUACCUCAUUUCUGGUUGGAUUUUGCUAGAGAAACCAGUUCUAGUAGCUCAACAAGAACUACACACCAUUUUUUGAGGAUUAUUUUAAUGCACUAGAGGGA
Long non-coding RNA from Biomphalaria glabrata, 1866 nucleotides. RefSeq lists it as uncharacterized. The transcript has 6 exons. NCBI's taxonomy places the organism in Eukaryota, Metazoa, Mollusca, Gastropoda, Planorbidae. The record is from RefSeq and is a predicted model, not a curated record.